RNAcentral lists this non-coding RNA (23 nucleotides) under Rattus norvegicus (Norway rat). The record is from RNAcentral. Lineage: Eukaryota; Metazoa; Chordata; Mammalia; Rodentia; Muridae.
UCCCACCUUGAAUCUGCUGUUCC